GGCGGCAUGGCCAAGUGGUAAGGCGGGGGACUGCAAAUCCUUUAUCCCCAGUUCAAAUCCGGGUGUCGCCUGAU
This 74-nucleotide transfer RNA is filed under the name Paris fargesii. RNAcentral's name for it is "tRNA-Cys". It matches the Rfam family "tRNA". Rfam says of the family: Transfer RNA (tRNA) molecules are approximately 80 nucleotides in length. Lineage: Eukaryota; Viridiplantae; Streptophyta; Magnoliopsida; Liliales; Melanthiaceae. RNAcentral also lists the same sequence under 1 other name. The record is from RNAcentral.